GUAGUCUCGACUGGAGGAGUCAGUGUCAGCGCUGGAACAGUUUCAUGUGUCUAUUUCUAUAAUAUCAAUUACACUCUUAUGGCACCAAGUGUGAAUGGCACAAAUGUUAGAGAUGUCAACAUCGGAGCAAUGAGAACGUGACGCAGAUUGCAGACCCAUUCGAACACUACGUAAUUUUAAACCACCAAGGGUUCCUUGAUCCCAGCCUUAGUCAAAUGCUGCCUUGAUGCUGAGGGAAAUGACUCACCUUACCUCUUAGAAGAAUGCAACCACUAGCACAUAUUUACACACAGACUGAUCCCACCCUUAAUGAUUGUUGUGUAAAUCCAGAUUUCCAUUAGGCCAUCAGUGGAGAAAUAUGACUUCCCAGAGUGGAAGAUCCAAUGAAUGAACAAGCGCACACUGCUCUUCCUUUACUUCUCAAUCAGAUCAAGAAAAGGAGCCAAGCUCUGAGCCACGUUAUGACAAGGAGGAAAUUUACUCUGUGGACCAAUAAACUUAGCAUUUUCUCCUUC
Carcharodon carcharias (great white shark) is the source of this 515-nucleotide long non-coding RNA. RefSeq lists it as uncharacterized. The record is from RefSeq and is a predicted model, not a curated record. NCBI's taxonomy places the organism in Eukaryota, Metazoa, Chordata, Chondrichthyes, Lamniformes, Lamnidae. The transcript is spliced from 3 exons.